CCAUCUGAUCAGAGAGAAACUUCUAAUGUGUGUGACCACAUAGAUUCAAACCUAAGCCGGUAGCACAGAAAUAAAUUUUUAUAUCAAUCAGAGUAACCAUCUAGUAAUAAUAUCUGACAUCCAAAUAGAUCGAAUAUACAUAAAGUAACACUCAAAAACUUAUUUGGAUACAAUUAUUGUAUAAUUCAUCCCUUUGACCCUUGAUGCUAGGAUGACUUAGAG
RNAcentral lists this long non-coding RNA (222 nucleotides) under Elaeis guineensis (African oil palm). Its description in RNAcentral is "long non-coding RNA (EGUI_LNC075956)". The record is from RNAcentral. Lineage: Eukaryota; Viridiplantae; Streptophyta; Magnoliopsida; Arecales; Arecaceae.